UGGUGGAGUGAUUUGUCUGGUUAAUUCCGUUAACGAACGAGACCUUAACCUGCUAAAUAUGCCGCGCUAACCCGUCCAUCAAAACCUAUGUGUGACUCACGCGGUUCGCUGCACACUAAUGUUGCCCGUUAAACGGUGAUGUUAGGGUGCCGGCAGGGCCCGGGUUCAUAUAGGCGGUAGGGUUCGGCGUCUGUGCUUCUUAGAGGGACUGCUGCGCGCCUAGCCAGCGGAAGUUUGAGGCAAUAACA
This 248-nucleotide ribosomal RNA is filed under the name uncultured eukaryote. RNAcentral describes it as "partial 18S ribosomal RNA". It matches the Rfam family "Eukaryotic small subunit ribosomal RNA", at positions 1299 to 1458 of the family's 1831-position model. The record is from RNAcentral.